AGCAUUCAGAUGUGACUUC
RNAcentral lists this small nuclear RNA (19 nucleotides) under Arabidopsis thaliana (thale cress). Its description in RNAcentral is "snRNA_03311". The record is from RNAcentral. Lineage: Eukaryota; Viridiplantae; Streptophyta; Magnoliopsida; Brassicales; Brassicaceae.